RNAcentral lists this ribosomal RNA (406 nucleotides) under uncultured bacterium. Its description in RNAcentral is "partial 16S ribosomal RNA". It matches the Rfam family "Bacterial small subunit ribosomal RNA", at positions 30 to 526 of the family's 1533-position model. The record is from RNAcentral.
AUUGAACGCUGGCGGCAGGCCUAACACAUGCAAGUAGAACGAGUGGCGGACGGGUGAGUAAUGUCUGUGAAACUGCCCGAUGGAGGGGGAUAACUACUGGAAACGGUCGCUAAUAACGCUUACCAUCGGAUGUGCUCAGAUGGGAUUUGCGAGUAGGUGGGGUAAUGGCUCACCUAGGCGACGAUCCCUAGCUGGUCUGAGAGGAUGACCCGCCACACUGGAACGGAGACACGGUCCAGACUCCGACGGGAGGCAGCAGUGGGGAAUAUUGCACAAUGGGCGAAAGCCUGAUGCAGCCCUGCCGCGUGUAUGAAGAAGGCCUUCGGGUUGUAAGGUACUUUCAGCGAGGAGGCGUUACUCGCAGAAGAAGCACCGGCUAACUCCGUGCCAGCAGCCGCGGUAAUAC